CCUGGUGGCUCAGACGGUAAAGCAUCUGCCUACAAUGCAGGAGACCCGGGUUCGAUCCCUGGGUCAGGA
This 69-nucleotide transfer RNA is filed under the name Bos taurus (domestic cattle). It matches the Rfam family "tRNA". Rfam says of the family: Transfer RNA (tRNA) molecules are approximately 80 nucleotides in length. Their secondary structure includes four short double-helical elements and three loops (D, anti-codon, and T loops). The record is from Rfam by way of RNAcentral. Lineage: Eukaryota; Metazoa; Chordata; Mammalia; Artiodactyla; Bovidae. RNAcentral also lists the same sequence under 4 other names.